GUUAAAACUCCCUAAGUUGUAUUGUUGGCUGAUGUAAUCAGUGGUGAGCUGACAAUAAGCCCCAGCUUUCAGGAAACAGGGUUGUCCUACAUGUAGAUGAAUCUGGGCCGAAAGCAUGGGAACCGCC
RNAcentral lists this small nucleolar RNA (127 nucleotides) under Meriones unguiculatus (Mongolian gerbil). Its description in RNAcentral is "Small nucleolar RNA SNORA65 (ENSMUGG00000004568.1)". It matches the Rfam family "Small nucleolar RNA SNORA65". Rfam says of the family: U65 belongs to the H/ACA class of snoRNAs which are thought to guide the sites of modification of uridines to pseudouridines. Lineage: Eukaryota; Metazoa; Chordata; Mammalia; Rodentia; Muridae. The record is from RNAcentral.